UUCAGAUGCUCUCUCAUCUCCACUCUCCUCUCAAACCUAACCCUAGACUCCUCCACUCCCCUCCGUCUCCAGUCAUCUCCGAUGACUAUCCCUAUCAACCCGAGUCUCCAAUGGGUCUCUCAUCACCCUGCUCAUCAUCUCUAAGGCCUUCAAGGAUCCUGGGCCACGUUGAUCUGGACCUAAGGUUUCUAUUUCUGUUACUUAUGGGUUCUCCCGUGUGAUUUUGGGCAAAAUCACACCUUAUAUGUCACGAUCGGUGAAGUUUCAACAGGUUCUUUCGAUUUUUACUUGGGUUUCCUUUUGAAAACUUAACUCCC
Molecule: long non-coding RNA, 317 nt
Filed under: Nicotiana benthamiana
Lineage: Eukaryota; Viridiplantae; Streptophyta; Magnoliopsida; Solanales; Solanaceae
Description: long non-coding RNA (NBEN_LNC029444)
Source: RNAcentral